UCGUCGGCCAAUAAAAUAUCAUCUUGGUGUCCAUAGUUUGAUAGAAAACAUUAUAGAACUUAUAGACAGAUUUUAUUCUAACCGAAUUGUCACCAUCUCUUUUCUAUGUAAUUAAACAAAUAAUCUUUUUGUUAUAAACUAAAGCAAAAGACAAGAACAAUAGAACAAGAACAAUAGCAAUAGAGAGAAGAGUAGAGAGAGUUCUUCUUAUUGAGUUGAGAGG
This 223-nucleotide long non-coding RNA is filed under the name Nicotiana benthamiana. RNAcentral describes it as "long non-coding RNA (NBEN_LNC020188)". Lineage: Eukaryota; Viridiplantae; Streptophyta; Magnoliopsida; Solanales; Solanaceae. The record is from RNAcentral.